ACGACCUUACUUGAACAGGAUCUGUUCUAUAGGCUCGUACCGUUGCAUCCUUUACCAACAAGGAGGCAAGCACUCAAGUCUGGUUGAUGAAUCCAUGACCUCUGGGCCAGAGCGUGAUUAACGGCCAGGAUGCAUCUCUGAAGUUUUGAAAUUGUUGGUAUAGACU
This 166-nucleotide small nucleolar RNA is filed under the name Oryza longistaminata (longstamen rice). Its description in RNAcentral is "snoRNA Plant_U3". It matches the Rfam family "Plant small nucleolar RNA U3", at positions 1 to 165 of the family's 221-position model. From Rfam's summary of the family: Small nucleolar RNAs (snoRNAs) are involved in the processing and modification of rRNA in the nucleolus. There are two main classes of snoRNAs: the box C/D class, and the box H/ACA class. The record is from RNAcentral. Lineage: Eukaryota; Viridiplantae; Streptophyta; Magnoliopsida; Poales; Poaceae.